Molecule: long non-coding RNA, 410 nt
Organism: Rhipicephalus sanguineus (brown dog tick)
Lineage: Eukaryota; Metazoa; Arthropoda; Arachnida; Ixodida; Ixodidae
Exons: 3
Source: RefSeq, a predicted model, not a curated record
UUACGUAGCCUCAUCUUACAACUUUGAGUAUUGCGACUAGGCUAAAGUGAGUGCUAUGAAGCUUGCUGUUGUUUCGAUCUUGCUCGCUGCACUAAUUCACGUUGGGGCCCUCAACACUAAGAAGCCGUUAUCACAAUACCCACCAGGAAAUACGAGAACAGAUCGAGAAAUGUCAUCUUCAAAGAUGUGCUUACGUUAGCACUCCGUAUAAUAAAAACUAUAGCAAAUGCCCUAAAGGAUGCACAUGCAAGCCCAAACUAGGUUUCAGCAGCAUCGGUUUCUGUGUCAUUGAAAAUAAGCCGGUGCCUCCCUCCUUAUACGACCAGCACCUGCACCUCUUAAACUAAGGAUUGUUAUGUUUGCGAAAUGUUCAUGGCUGAACUACUUGGCGAUAAGUGCAAUAAAAGUAU